Molecule: ribosomal RNA, 402 nt
Filed under: uncultured bacterium
Lineage: Bacteria
Description: bacterial SSU rRNA
Rfam family: Bacterial small subunit ribosomal RNA
Source: RNAcentral
UGGGGAAUCUUGCACAAUGGGGGCAACCCUGAUGCAGCGACGCCGCGUGAGCGAUGAAGCCCUUCGGGGCGUAAAGCUCUUUCGACCGGAACGAUAAUGACGGUACCGGGAGAAGAAGCUGCGGCUAACUACGUGCCAGCAGCCGCGGUAAUACGUAGGCAGCAAGCGUUGUUCGGAGUUACUGGGCGUAAAGAGUGCGUAGGCGGUUUUCUAAGUUCGGUGUGAAAUCUCCCGGCUUAACUGGGAGGGUGCGCCGAAGACUGGGAAGCUGGAGUGUGGGAAAGGCAGGCGGAAUUCCUGGUGUAGCGGUGAAAUGCGUAGAUAUCAGGAGGAACACCGGCGGUGUAGACGGCUUGCUAGACCAUAACUAACGCUGAGGCACGAAAGCGUGGGUAGCAAACA